RNAcentral lists this transfer RNA (71 nucleotides) under Loxodonta africana (African savanna elephant). It matches the Rfam family "tRNA". From Rfam's summary of the family: Transfer RNA (tRNA) molecules are approximately 80 nucleotides in length. Their secondary structure includes four short double-helical elements and three loops (D, anti-codon, and T loops). Further hydrogen bonds mediate the characteristic L-shaped molecular structure. tRNAs have two regions of fundamental functional importance: the anti-codon, which is responsible for specific mRNA codon recognition, and the 3' end, to which the tRNAs corresponding amino acid is attached (by aminoacyl-tRNA synthetases). tRNAs cope with the degeneracy of the genetic code in two manners: having more than one tRNA (with a specific anti-codon) for a particular amino acid; and 'wobble' base-pairing, i.e. permitting non-standard base-pairing at the 3rd anti-codon position. Lineage: Eukaryota; Metazoa; Chordata; Mammalia; Proboscidea; Elephantidae. The record is from Rfam by way of RNAcentral.
ACAGUAGUGAUUCAGUGGUAGAAUUCUCACCUUCCAAGGGGGAGAUCUGGGUUUGAUACCCAGCCAAUGCA